AGCGAACGCUGGCGGCGCGCCUAAUACAUGCAAGUCGAGCGAGAAGACGUAGCAAUACGUUUGUAAAGCGGCGAACGGGUGAGGAAUACAUGGGUAACCUACCCUCGAGUGGGGAAUAACUAGCCGAAAGGUUAGCUAAUACCGCGUACGCUCCUUGGACUUCGGUUCAGGGAGGAAAGCGAUACCGUGGGUAUCGCGCUCUUGGAUGGGCUCAUGUCCUAUCAGCUUGUUGGUGAGGUAACGGCUCACCAAGGCUUCGACGGGUAGCUGGUCUGAGAGGACAAUCAGCCACACUGGCACUGCGACACGGGCCAGACUCCUACGGGAGGCAGCAGUAAGGAAUAUUGCGCAAUGGGCGAAAGCCUGACGCAGCGACGCCGCGUGGGGGA
RNAcentral lists this ribosomal RNA (389 nucleotides) under uncultured bacterium. Its description in RNAcentral is "bacterial SSU rRNA". It matches the Rfam family "Bacterial small subunit ribosomal RNA", at positions 29 to 408 of the family's 1533-position model. The record is from RNAcentral.